AUGUACGUGUUACUGAUCUGAGAGGAGAGGGACCCAUGCUUCGGUAUGGGAGCGUACACAGGUGCUGCAUGGCUGUCGUCAGCUCGUGUCGUGAGAUGUUGGGUUAAGUCCCGCAACGAGCGCAACCCUGCAUCCAGUUGCCAUCGGGCGAGCCGGGCACUCUGGAGGGACUGCCGGCGACAAGCCGGAGGAAGGUGGGGAUGACGUCAAGGUCAUCAUGGCCCUUAUGUCCAGGGCGACACACGUGCUACAAUGGCCGGCACAGCGGGAAGCGGAGGGGCGACCCUGAGCGGAUCCCUUGAAAGCCGGUCCCAGUUCGGAUUGCAGUCUGCAACUCGACUGCAUGAAGUUGGAAUCGCUAGUAAUCGCGGAUCAGCCAAGCCGCGGUGAAUACGUUCCCGGGCCUU
This 407-nucleotide ribosomal RNA is filed under the name uncultured Thermovirga sp. RNAcentral's name for it is "bacterial SSU rRNA". It matches the Rfam family "Bacterial small subunit ribosomal RNA", at positions 986 to 1382 of the family's 1533-position model. Lineage: Bacteria; Thermotogati; Synergistota; Synergistia; Synergistales; Thermovirgaceae. The record is from RNAcentral.